AGUAAAUAAAAACAAAUCGGUCGCGACGUCGCGAUUCGCCGCGAACCGCGAAUUUUAUUCGUUUUCGUCGAUUUUGAGAGGGUUUUCGUUCCGAAAACGCCCUCGGUCGUGUGUUUGAGUCCUUCCCCUGCAGAAGGAAGAGACUCCAACGUGAAAAUCCCCGCUGAAAGGGGGCAAAAGUGUUUUUUUUUAUUCUCCAAAUGGGAAUGAGGAAUCUUCCCGACGAUGGGAAUAGUGUAAGGUUUUUUUUAUGUUUCCCAGCCUACAAGCGGCUGGUUCACCGUGUUGGUAAGUGUCACGGUAAACAAAAAGUGGUGUUCGCUGCAACCGGAGCAGCUAUAUGGAAUUUUCGACGCUGGCAGUACAGGUGACCCGUACCCAAACAAAGGGAUUCGGCAUCAACCUAUGCCACGGGGAAAAACUGACUACGCUGGUUUAAUAAGAUUCGCCGGCCAGAAUCCGAGAUUCUUCCCAUUCGAAUCGACCAACUCAUAGGAAGAAACACCGCGCCGACGAAGAACUUUCGCGGAUCGUCGUCUGAAGCGCCUGAAGUUCGACUGAAGUCAUCUCCCGAAGCCAUUUCUUCACCAUGGACAAUAAAGAAAUGACCAAACUCCUUCGACACGAAGGUGGAAGCGUUGUCGCUCAGAAGAACUUCAGGACACCCGUGACGAUUAAACCACUGCUCCCGAAGAAUGGAACAAAGGGAGCUGCUUUGGAUUUUCCGGACAGGGGCCAACAUGACGUAUUUGCUAAACACGUCUAGCACAACAAGCAGGUGUUGGUUUCCCCGUUUACUUCUUGGGAGUGGGCCAAUAUAGUCCACCGAAAUUAUCCUCCAUGGUGAGUUUGAUGUUCGGGCCUGCCCUAGUUCAGGUUGGACCGGAACAAAAGGAGCUUUUAUCUCCUUGCAAGUCUCACACUGCUGCAAAUACCUUCUUAUUUGCGUUGCCAUGCUUGGCCAGAAAUAACGGAGUUUGAUUUCAUGAAGGGUUUUUUCAAACCCCACGUGGAGAAGAUUUUCGUGCGUCUUCGCAAUGAUAUCGGGGCGACACUCCGGAGCUGGGAUCAGCUUCCAACCGAAACGCGAGUCGCAAGCAGAGUUGCCAAUAAAAACUUAAUUUGAACUGGAAGAAUGCUGAGAAAAAAACUGGAAAAAACUGGAUUCCAAAUAAAUUUACAAAAUACUGAAAAAAUAAAUUGUGAGAGAGCUUCUUUAUGAUGGUUAUUGAAUACAAUAUAAGUUUUAAAUACAGCAACUUCGGGCUUACAUUUUGUUGAA
Molecule: long non-coding RNA, 1282 nt
Organism: Wyeomyia smithii (pitcher-plant mosquito)
Lineage: Eukaryota; Metazoa; Arthropoda; Insecta; Diptera; Culicidae
Exons: 3
Source: RefSeq, a predicted model, not a curated record